RNAcentral lists this unclassified non-coding RNA (247 nucleotides) under Hevea brasiliensis (rubber tree). The record is from RNAcentral. Lineage: Eukaryota; Viridiplantae; Streptophyta; Magnoliopsida; Malpighiales; Euphorbiaceae.
AAACGAAAAUCAGGCAGCGAGAUUGAUUAGAAUGAUCAAGAAUUGAAGAUUUGGGUGAUGGGAACAACAGAGCAGGUUCAGAGAGAGGGGAGCAGGGAUUGUUUAUGUGUAUUUAUAUGUCGGUAGGUUGGAAAGGGGAGUACUGAUGUAGUAGUGAUUAACGGAGAAUCUUCAAGAAAUAGAAGAUUGCAGAUUGGGGUUUGAUGGGUAUAUGUGAAUGAUAUGAUGACGACGAUGAUGAUAAAUU